UGAAGUAUUCCAUUCCUUCCUACUUCAGUAUCAGACAGCUCCAAAGCUUUCAAGUUUGAAAGGCCAGCUAAAUGAGCAAGACCAUCAUUGCUAAUCCUACAAGAAUCCAAGUAGAGGCCUUCCAAUUUUGUCAUCCCUUCUAACUGUACCAAACAUGUAUCCGUGAUAUUGUUAAAUCCCAGAUUCAACUCUUUCAAACUGCUGAGUGCCGAAAACUUCUCACAUCCAUCAUCUAAAAGGUGACAUCUAUUGACAUUUAGCGACUUCAACGAAGUGAGAGCUGUGAGGUAAUCCAAACAUGACGCAGUAACAACAGACCCUUCCAAGUUUAGCACGACUAGUUUGUACAGAUCUCUUAAAUAAGACACUCCAACAUUUGUUAUGUCGCUACAUGAAAUCUGAAGUUCCUUCAAAUUCACAAGCCCUGCAAGAGGCUUCAAGUCUGAAUCCGUAAUAAAUUUGCAGUUUCUUAUAGUGAGAGAUUCAAGGUUCGUCAAACCUUCAAGAUGAAUAAAACCUCCAUGAAUUAGAGGACAUCGCUCAAAUUCCAACUUGACUAGUUUCAUUGAGCCAGAUAAACUUUCCAUUGAUUCAGCACUGAGCCCAUUGCAUUUUCUAAAACUCAAGUAUUUCAAAUCCGUAAAACCAGCAAUGUGCUUUAUGCCUGGGGCAGAAAUUUUGUCGCAGCAAUCCAAACCUAAGGCUUGGAGGUUUGAGCAAUUCCUUAGGAGGCUUAAACCAAAAUCUGUAACCUCAGUGCUAGAGAUAUAUGCAGACAGUAAUGAUGAUCCUUGUGAAGAAAUGACAUCCAUCCAUUUAUUGUUUACUCUUGUAUGUUCUCGCAUGCACAUAUCAUGCAGGGCGCAAUCUCUAAAAGCCUCAAUACGACUAUCAGAAAGGCUGCAUGAAUCCACCAGAUGGUUGAAUAUCAACUGGCUUAUGUCUCUUGGGAGCAUUGAAAAUGAACGAUAUUUGUCGAUGUCCUUGCAUAUUUUACAGAUGCAUAAUUCCAUGAGGGACGGACAACGACUUUGUUGAAAUUGACAACACGUAGCGGGCAAAAAAAGCGAGGACUCUAGCCAUUUUGAGCUCCCAAAUUUGAAGUAUCUACCAGAAAAGCCUCUUCUAGUUAUGUUCUCAUCAGCAUAGUGGUCUCUUUUACAUGAACAUACACUCCCCAUCAAAGAAUUCCCUUGAGAAGACUCACUCAGUAUCAUUAAACGCUCCAAAAAGAUGGGUUC
RNAcentral lists this unclassified non-coding RNA (1241 nucleotides) under Hevea brasiliensis (rubber tree). Lineage: Eukaryota; Viridiplantae; Streptophyta; Magnoliopsida; Malpighiales; Euphorbiaceae. The record is from RNAcentral.